RNAcentral lists this ribosomal RNA (441 nucleotides) under uncultured bacterium. RNAcentral describes it as "partial 16S ribosomal RNA". It matches the Rfam family "Bacterial small subunit ribosomal RNA", at positions 338 to 795 of the family's 1533-position model. The record is from RNAcentral.
CCUACGGGUGGCAGCAGUGGGGGAUAUUGCACAAUGGGGGGAACCCUGAUGCAGCGACGCCGCGUGGGUGAAGGAGUGCUUCGGCAUGUAAAGCCCUAUCGGCAGGGAAGAAGCAAGACGGUACCUGACUAAGAAGCCCCGGCUAACUACGUGCCAGCAGCCGCGGUAAUACGUAGGGGGCGAGCGUUAUCCGGAUUCACUGGGUGUAAAGGGAGCGUAGACGGCCAUGCAAGCCAGGGGUGAAAGCCCGGGGCCCAACCCCGGGACUGCCCUUGGAACUGUGCGGCUAGAGUGCGGGAGGGGCAGGCGGAAUUCCUGGUGUAGCGGUGAAAUGCGGAGAUAUCAGGAGGAACACCGGCGGCGAAGGCGACCUGCUAGAACAUAACUGACGCUGAUGCGCGAAAGCGUGGGGAGCAAACAGGAUUAGAUACCCUGGUAGUC